This 77-nucleotide transfer RNA is filed under the name Planctomycetaceae bacterium. RNAcentral describes it as "tRNA-Arg". It matches the Rfam family "tRNA". Rfam says of the family: Transfer RNA (tRNA) molecules are approximately 80 nucleotides in length. Their secondary structure includes four short double-helical elements and three loops (D, anti-codon, and T loops). The record is from RNAcentral. Lineage: Bacteria; Pseudomonadati; Planctomycetota; Planctomycetia; Planctomycetales; Planctomycetaceae.
GCGCCCGUAGCUCAGCUGGAUAGAGUACCUGGCUUCGAACCAGGUGGUCGGGCGUUCGAAUCUCUCCGGGCGCGCCA